GCAGGGUCUCGGGGGGGUCCUCGGGUAGGGCCUAAUAUAGUGGUGGGGUCCCCAGGUAGGCCCCAGGGGUGAGGGGGCCUCUAAGUAGGGCUGGGGAGGGGAAUGGGGGUCCCAGGUGGGGCCUAGAGUAGUGGCUAGACCUGAGAGGGGGUCCUGGGCAGGGCCUUGGGGACAAGGGGGGGAUGUCCCCACGCAGGUCCCAGCAUUGAGGGGGGGGACCAUAAGCAGGGUCCGGGGGGGGGUUGCCCUGCCAGGCCCAUAGGUGAGGUGGGGGUCCGGCAGCAUGGCCCAGGGGCAACGCGGGGUGCCCCCAGCCCCAGCAGGACCCAGCCCAGCUGGCUGUCUUGUCAGGCAAGAGCCUUCCCAGAGCCUGGGGCAGCACUGGGGGAACUGGUGGGCGAGGGAGCCCCCAGCUCUCUCCCUGCUUCCUCCUGAAUUGCACCCAGCGAAAGAAGCCGCCUCUGAGUUCAUGCAUAAAAGAUCAAUGGAAAUGGUGUUGCCUGCUGAAGAUGGAUCCACCAGCAGAAGGUGCAGUCGGAGGUCUGGAGCUGUGCAUAGAGAAGUGAACUUCUCAUGAAUAAUGUACUGGCUGCCUGAUGAAUAUGCACGUUGGCUGGUGUGCCUGGGAGGGCUUCAUCAAUAAUUCAUGCCCAGAAAAUGUUCUUCACCUUGCAACUGUACAGGAACCGUAAAAAAAAAAAAUAUUUACCCUUUAAAGUGGGAGAGAAGAUGGCUUGAAAUCUGCCCACGGAAACGUGGAGUGAGAAAACUUCCUUGCAAAGAAAGAGUGGAAAUGCUCUGCGAGGUGGGAAAGGCAAGGAGAGAGCGUUUCCAUUCGGUGGAGCCGGGGUCUUCAGAAGGCACCUGCCUUCAAAUCCCUGGUGAUUGUUUUUAUUUGUGUUUUUAUCACUGAUUACCUCCUUUAAAGGCCUCUUGGGACUCCAAGAGGAAAAAAAACUCCAGUAAACCUCAAAAGCUCUGAACAAUCGGUUCAUGAGUCGUCUUGCGCCGUGCGGCCCCGAAAUGGAAACCUGGAAAAGUCGAGGCGGUUUCUGGAUGCCUGGCUGUGUGCCAGCAGACUUUGCUUCCCACGCUGGGCGCUUCUGAAAGGCAAAGGGGAUGGUCUGCAAAGAGCCUGGCGCGCCAUCGGCGCUGCACCGAUAACACGCAAAACAGAUAAAAGCGUAAAUGGCCGAGUCUGCAUUUUUGGGACUGGAAGCCUUUCCGUAGCAAAUCAGAUGUGCCAGAAACCGCAGGAUCAGGUGCAAACCCUCCUCUGACCCGUUGCUGCGUGUGAUUAGAGCAGCCAAGUCGGCGAAAGAAUCACGGACAAGAAACCUGCAAUAUUAAUUUGGUCACCUACCAAGAGUUCUCGCCGACAGAGCAAGCUCUGGAACAAAGGACACAUUCUUGCAGUCAGCAUUUUAGUUUUGCUGGCUAUUCCUGUCAAACAGUUAAUUAAAAUCCCCCCUCCCCUUCCAAACAAGCUAUUUUCCUGAAGAAAAAAAGCUUUUCAGCACUCAUGAAAUCAAUUCCUCUUCAAGAAAAAUUAAAAAUGCACUGUGCACCCUUUUCCCCACAUGCAUUAUAUUAACCAGUAUGCCAAUGUAUGUAAAUGAGUCUGAAAUUCAACUCGAUGGAAGUAUUUAAAUAUUCAUAAUCACAGUACAGCAUAUGCAAACCAGGCUCUCAGCAGACUUGCACUGCAGUCUCCAGUAACAGCUGUACUGGGGCAAAGAUGCUUUAACGUAUCUAAUUUGAUUAUUAAUGAAAACGUGGUCAGCGCUGGC
This is a long non-coding RNA of Aquila chrysaetos chrysaetos, 1790 nucleotides long. RefSeq lists it as uncharacterized. The record is from RefSeq and is a predicted model, not a curated record. The transcript has 5 exons. Lineage: Eukaryota; Metazoa; Chordata; Aves; Accipitriformes; Accipitridae.